CGAUCUCCUGGCAACGCUGCGGCCCCGCCCACAUCAUGACGCCCGAGGAGAACGCGGGUACCAAACUCUUGCUGCAGGGUUUUGAGAGCCGCUUCCUAGUGGCGCGCACACUGCGCUCCUUCCCCUGGCAGGUGGGCGGCGGGGCGAGCGGAGAGGCCCGCGGGGCUCGCGGAGUCCAGGGGCAGACGGGAUGGGUCUCCGUGCUGAAACCCCCGGCGCUCCUGCCACAGCUUAGAGGCAAAGUUAAGAGACUCAUCAGAUUCUGAGCUGCUGCAGGAUAUUUUGCAGAAGACUGUGAGGCAUCCUGUGUGUGUGAAGCACCCGCCGUCAGUCAAGUAUGCCUGGUGCUUUCUCUCAGAACUCAUCAAAAAGCACGAGGCUGUCCACACGGAGCCUUUGGAUGAGCUGUACGAGGCGCUGGCGGAGACCCUGAUGGCCAAGGAGUCCCCCCAGGGCCACCGGAGCUAUUUGUUGCCCUCGGGAGGCUCGGUCACACUCUCCGAAAGCAUGGCCAUCAUCUCCCACAGCACCACGGGUCUGGUCACAUGGGAUGCCGCCCUCUACAUUGCAGAAUGGGCCAUCGAGAACCCGGCAGCCUUCACUCACAGGUCUGUCUUAGAGCUUGGCAGUGGUGCCAGCCUCACAGGCCUGGCCAUCUGCAAGAUAUGCCGCCCCCGGGCAUACAUCUUCAGCGACUGUCACAGCCGAGUCCUCGAGCAGCUCCAAGGAAAUGUCCUUCUCAAUGGCCUCUCAUUAGAGGCAGACAUCACUGCCAACUUAGACAGCCCUAGGGUGACAAUGGCCCAGCGCUGGACUGGGACGUAGUGACGGUCCAUCAGCGCUCUGCCUUCCAGCUAGAUGUUGUCAUUGCAGCAGAUGUGCUGUAUUGCCCAGAAGCCAUUGUGUCACUGGUCAGGGUCCUGCGGAGGCUGGCUGCCUGCCGGGAGCACCAGCGGGCUUCUGAGGUCUACGUGGCCUUCGCUGUCCGCAAUUGAGAGACGUGCCAGCUGUUCACCACCGAGCUAGAGAAGAGCAGACACUGCCAUGGACCCGUCUCUGUCCCUGCCACAUGGCCCCAGGCCCAAGACACUCCCCCUAGGAGGGAUCCUUUUCCCAGAAGCUCCACCCCUCGGCAGCUCCAGUCAGGCCCCAUCUGGGCCCUUCCAGAAGCAACCCAGGAGCCCCGAGACCUGCAGGGGUGUGUGCACCCUGACCCCUGAUGCAUAGCCCUGCACCUGCAGCCAGCUGGCCUCGGGCUGCAAACAUGGUGGGGUAAGCACUGGCCUGGCACCUGACCACCCACUGGGUGGACCCAGCCUUCUGUCUGUGUUGUGCACAGGGGACACGAGGACUCCCCCUGCCCUGCCGCAGCCCCCAGAGCACAUGGUGCGGGUUCCAAUCCGCGCCUGCCCUGCCACAGCCUCCAGAGCACAUGGCGCGCUUUCCAAACCACUCCUGGGAGCCUAGAGGCCAGAGGAGGGAGGAGAGCAGGACCAGCAGCUGGCCCAGACCCCGCCUCUUCCUACACCACUUCCGCUUUUCUCCCUCCUCACUGAGUCAUCUUGAAAGGGCUCAGCAGCAGUAACUGUGGGACAGGGGCUCUUCCAUUUGAAAAAUUAAAAGAGGCUUGGUUAAGGCACCAA
This is an RNA transcript of Homo sapiens (human), 1643 nucleotides long. It is a transcript of the gene named family with sequence similarity 86 member B3, pseudogene, with no coding region annotated. The transcript is spliced from 8 exons. Lineage: Eukaryota; Metazoa; Chordata; Mammalia; Primates; Hominidae. The record is from RefSeq and is marked provisional.